CUGCGCCGCCGCCUCCGGCCCGGCUGAGUAGGCUGGCGUCGCCGGCCUGGUCAGCGUGAAGGCGCCCAGGACGGUCCGGUCUCAGCUCCCUGUCCCGGCGUACAGAGGGAGCUGCUCCUGGCUCUCGUCGGCCCCAGAAUGCGAUCUUUGUUGGGAAAUCAAAGUCUCAGGACCAGGAAGUGAAUGCUGCUUCCCCUCCAUUGACAUUCCAGUGUUGGAAAUACCAAGUAAGGAAUUAGUGUGUAUGAUGCUGGAAACCUGUAGAGAUGCACAGCUCAUGACUCAAAGGCCUAAAACAGGUGUGUCUUUCAAGUUCUUAUCAGGAAAAUGACAGUGGAGAAGAUGACGGGCCUCGGCGGCCGGUGGGAAGCGCCCUAGGAGGGAGCCAGAGAGAUGUGCACUGCAGAAGAGAGACGUGAUCAGAGAGCUCAGAGCAGGACAGUGUGUCGUGCGCGCCCUCAGAGGGGCCAGAAGAUCUUUAUUCAUCUGCAUGAGGUCACUCAUAUAGAUGGUCACGUAUACCAGUGCCUUGAACGUGAGCAAAGCUUCUGCGAAAACUUAGCUCUUAUUAUGUGUGAGAGAACCCACAGUGGAGAGAAACCUUAUCGAUGUGAUAUGUGUGAGAAAACCUUCAUCCAACGCUCAGAUCUCAUUUCACACCAGAGGAUCCACAAUUAUGAGAAACCCUAUAAAUGUAGCAAAUGUGAGAAGAGCUUCUGGCACCACUUAGCCCUUUCAGGACACCAGAGAACACAUGCAGGUAAAAAAUUCUAUACGUGUGACAUUUGUGGCAAGAAUUUUGGACAGAGCUCUGAUCUGCUUGUCCACCAGCGAAGCCACACUGGUGAGAAACCGUAUCUGUGCAGCGAGUGUGAUAAGUGCUUCAGUCGCAGUACAAACCUCAUUCGGCACCGAAGAACUCACACCGGUGAGAAACCAUUCAAAUGUCUGGAGUGUGAAAAAGCUUUUAGUGGGAAAUCGGAUCUCAUUAGCCACCAGAGAACUCACACUGGCGAAAGGCCCUACAAAUGUAAUAAGUGUGAGAAGAGUUAUCGGCACCGUUCAGCCUUCAUUGUUCAUAAAAGAGUCCACACCGGGGAGAAGCCCUACAAGUGCGGUGCCUGCGAGAAGUGCUUCGGCCAGAAGUCAGACCUCAUUGUCCACCAGAGGGUCCACACAGGGGAGAAGCCCUACAAGUGCUUGGAAUGUAUGAGAAGUUUCACUCGCAGUGCCAACCUAAUCAGGCACCAGGCAACUCACACGCACACUUUUAAAUGCCUUGAAUAUGAGAAAAGUUUCAGCUGUGGCUCAGACCUUAUUGUGCAUCAAAGAAUUCACAUGGAAGAGAAGCCCCAUCAGUGGUCUGCCUGUGAGAGUGGCUUCCUCCUGGGCAUGGGCUUUGUUGCACAGCCAAAAAUGAGGACUCAGACAGAGGAGCUGCGUUAUCCGUACAGUGUGUGUGACAAAGGUUUCCGCCAGAGCUCGGCCCUCCUGCAGCAUCAGAUGGUCCCCGGCGGCGAGAAGCCCUGUAUCUGUAACGCAGGGAUGAAGGGGCUUGAGCUCAGCCCUCCCCACACACCAGAAGCCUCACAAAUGUCUUGGCCAGACAAGAAGUUAUGACACCAUAAAAAACCAUUUAUGAGUCAGAGAACCCAUUAAAAUAAGGAACUCUAGGCAAAGCUUAGAUUUUUUUGAGAGCUCAGACUUCAGUGGGGACCAGAGAAUCUGUGAUUAUAGGAAGCUGGGAAGCGGUUUGCCCGGAGAGCUGCCGGUCACUCCAACGAGAAACCUUCAAAGGCCCUGAGGCUUGGAAAACCUUUACUCUGAGCUCCGAUCUGGUCACUCACAGGAGGACUCGCACCAGUGGGAAACCUUGCAGAUGCCGAGAGGGGCGAGCCUCCCAGCCAUGCUCACUUCUCUCUCUCCAGGGGAGUUUGCACCAGAGGACAACGCCCUUGGUGUGCACAGCUUGCUGACAUCAGAGAGCCCACACUUGGGAGAAACCCCAGCAAGUAUGGUAAAAGCUUCCAACAGAACUGUGACUUUCCUAACCAUCAAAAAAGCCAUAUUGGUGACAAUUUAGGUAUUGUUGUCUUGAGUGUGGCAAAAGCAUUAGAUGGAGAGCCUUCUUGGGUUUGCCGCAUCAAUAACAACAAAACGGAUCUAAGAAGAGACCUUAUGAAGACUGAGGGAGAAGAGCCGUCAGCGAUCAGCUCCUUUGGUUGACACACCAGGGAACUCGUGAAAAACCCCAUAAAUACCUUGAGUCUGAAAAAAGCCUCGCUAGAAACCUCGACCUCUGGGCCCCUAAGAACCUACUCUGCAGAGAGUUGUGCUCUAGUAUGAGCACGGGUCGGGGUGGUGUACAUAUAGUAGGUGUGAGAAUAGCCGUGCUCCCAGUUAGCUGGCCCCUGUGUAGAGGUGACUUUCAUGGAGUCUGGACCUGGACGGCUCUUCGAUGCCCAGAAGCUCACUGUGGCAGGAGCUCGGGCCCGUCAGAGCAGGCCUGAUGGGAAACUCAGUUCUGCCAAGAAAGGAGAGACUACUUUUUAUUCCCAGGGAAAGGAUUGCAAUCACUACAAUAUAAGGUAUUUAUUUGGCUUGGAAUGUAGGAUUCUAAAUGCUAGAAGGGAAAAGUAGUUGCCAGGUUUAUCAGAGUUUCAGGGAUUAGAACUUAUCUCCAGUUUAACAGAGUAACUAUUAUAUUCAGCAUUCUCUAGAAGUACUAUAAUCCAGUGAUCUAUAAAUGAACAACUUUGAGGGGAUUUUCCCCCUCAAAAGACAUGUAAUAAAAGUAGUUAAGAUUCCUGCAUUAUUUGGGACUCUAGACUGGUGAAUAAAUAUUUUGUUGCUAGUCUGAGUCUGACUAGUCUAUCUCAGCAAACCCCUGGACUUCAGGAGUACUGGCCUUUGGACCACAGAGGUGGCCAGCGGCUGCUUUGUGUGCAGCUCUGAUCUCUGACCUGAGCUGAUGACCUUGAUAAUCUUAUGGUCGUGGGGCAGCUCCUAGUGAUAGGAAGGAAUCUGGUUCCAGGGUGUUUUUCUUUGAGCAAACAGGUCCUGAAAGGUUAUUCACUCUGGUAUGUUUUAGUAUUAUUUCCAUAAAUAGCUCUUAUACCAUGAAUAGUUGCCCAGUGUGGUAAAACACAUGAGAUAUAUUUGGUUUUCUUGGGUGCCUGUCGCUAGUGUAUGUUUGAUCACUGUAAUACUAAAAUAGUAUGGGCGUAUGGCAUGGCAGAGACAAAUAUUAGUCCUGUGGCUGCUUGCUAGUCAUUAGAACCUGCAGAAGGGGACAGAGUUGGCCUCAUGGCAGGGUAAUGACCCUUCUUUUGGCUAAUCUCACUGGUAACUAGCUGUGUCUAGUCUUUAAGUAAAUUAAGGAUGGACCAUCCCCCAAGCAGAACUUAGUGGGUUUGAAACAGGUCUAAGGUCUUUUAACCAUGGGGAAGAGGUGUUGGUACUGUUUCACGUAGCAUAGCCUGAGGCUGGGGAGGACCACCUGGGAGCCUGUAACCAGCACUAGCAGGCAACUUCUGGUCUGGUUGGAGGUUCUCUUGAAACAGUGCCAACCUAGAUCUACCUCAGGUAAGUAGUUAGGGUCACCUUUCAGGAUUUCAGACCUAAUGAGACACUUGUAUUCAGUGUAUUCCUAUGCUUCAAUGUUUUUGUUUGCCCUUAAUUCUUAAAUAAACAUUCAUUCUGCAAAACUC
Artibeus jamaicensis (Jamaican fruit-eating bat) is the source of this 3710-nucleotide RNA transcript. It is a transcript of the gene named zinc finger protein 322, with no coding region annotated. Lineage: Eukaryota; Metazoa; Chordata; Mammalia; Chiroptera; Phyllostomidae. The transcript is spliced from 4 exons. The record is from RefSeq and is a predicted model, not a curated record.